This 207-nucleotide ribosomal RNA is filed under the name uncultured bacterium. RNAcentral describes it as "partial 16S ribosomal RNA". It matches the Rfam family "Bacterial small subunit ribosomal RNA", at positions 568 to 774 of the family's 1533-position model. The record is from RNAcentral.
UGCGUAGGCGGUUUGUUAAGUCAACUGUUAAAUUUCUCAGCUUAACUGGGAGUAUGCGGUAGAAACUGGCAAACUAGAGGAUGGAAGAGAGAAGUAGAAUUCUCGGAGUAGCGGUAAAAUGCGUAGAUCUCGAGAGGAACACCGAUGGCGAAGGCAGCUUCUUGGUCCAUUUCUGACGCUGAGGCACGAAAGCGUGGGGAGCAAACA